UGAGGAAUAUUGCACAAUGGAGGAAACUCUGAUGCAGCAACGCCGCGUGGAGGGAUGACGCAUUUCGGUGUGUAAACUCCUUUUAUGAGUCAAGAAAAUGACGGUAGCUCAUGAAUAAGCACCGGCUAACUCCGUGCCAGCAGCCGCGGUAAUACGGAGGGUGCAAGCGUUAUUCGGAAUCACUGGGCGUAAAGGACGCGUAGGCGGGAAGCCAAGUCUGAUGUGAAAUCCUAUGGCUUAACCAUAGAACUGCAUUGGAAACUGGUUACCUAGAGUAUGGGAGGGGGAGAUGGAAUUAGUGGUGUAGGGGUAAAAUCCGUAGAUAUCACUAGGAAUACCGAAAGCGAAGGCGAUCUCCUGGAACAAUACUGACGCUAAGGCGUGAAAGCGUGGGGAGCAAACG
Molecule: ribosomal RNA, 403 nt
Filed under: uncultured bacterium
Lineage: Bacteria
Description: bacterial SSU rRNA
Rfam family: Bacterial small subunit ribosomal RNA
Source: RNAcentral